RNAcentral lists this ribosomal RNA (433 nucleotides) under uncultured bacterium. RNAcentral's name for it is "partial 16S ribosomal RNA". It matches the Rfam family "Bacterial small subunit ribosomal RNA", at positions 29 to 507 of the family's 1533-position model. The record is from RNAcentral.
AACGAACGCUGGCGGCAGGCUUAACACAUGCAAGUCGAACGAACACUUCGGAGUUAGUGGCGGACGGGUGAGUAAGACGUGGGAACGUGUAGGAUAGCUCGGAAUAACUCAGGGAAACUUGUGCUAAUACCGAAUGUGUACUCCGGGGGAAAGAUUCAUCGCCAUUAAAGCGGCCCGCUCCUGAGUAGCUAGAUGGUGAGGUAACGGCUCACCAAGGUGACGAUCAGUAGGUGGUCUGAGAGGAUGACCAGCCACACUGGGACUGAGACCCGGCCCAGACACCUCCGGGAGGCAGCGGUGGGGAAUCUUCCGCAAUGGGCGAAGGCCUGACGCAGCCAUGCCGCGUAAAUGAUGAAGGUCUUAGGAUUGUAAAAUUCUUUCGCGGGGGACAAUAAUGACGGUACCCGGAGAAGAAGCCCCGGCUAACUUCGUG